AAAAAAAUUUAAACCCUGCAGAGAAUUGAGAACUCGGGAGCCGGCUGACCAUGCCUCUCUUCCCAUAGGACAUCCGAAGACGGCGCCCUCUUUAAUUUAGUUACAUUAAGAGCUCCAGCUGAGACCAAAACAGCCCCCUCGGCCACCUACCAACCGCAUUGGGCCGGUGCCAGGCAUUUCACACCCAUCCUCACUGAUCCUCGGGAGAGCCCAUUUUACAGAUGGGGGCACCAAGGCACACACAGGCUCACCAGCUUCCAGAUUUGUGUGCCCAGGUGUCGUGGUGGAAAGUCCAUCGCCCAUAAGCACAGAAGGCAUGUGAAAUGGCAGGCGGUGUCCACCUGGCGGUGUGUGAGCGCCCGAUGGACGGAGGCGCCCGUGCGUCCUCGGACAUUCUGCCGAGCGCGGCUAAGCCAAGAACGUCUCUGGCCUCAAGCCAUUUCCAUAUGGGCCCUGAGUAGCAGUCUGAACUGUCCCGACUUACAAAUCCUUUAACUAACAAGUGGCAAUAACCUGCACGACUUUUUAAUGUUCCAUUUAUUCUUCCAAGCGUCUGUGGUUCGGAGAUCUAGAAUCGCGGUGCUCCUGAGUGCCGAGAACAUGACAUAACGGAGGGAAGAAACGCUCCACAGCUUUGCCAGCCAGGGAUGACGUACAAGUUUCAGCAGGCUCAGCGGAGUUAAAGUAAUCUCUGCCCCCGGCGUGGGGCUCAAACCCACAACCCCGAGAUCAAGAGCGGCACGCGAGCGGACCCAGCAACGCACUUCCGCCAAAGCCCUCCACGGCGGGGCCGACCACACGACGGUAAUUUUAAGCUUUUAAAACAUUAGCGCAAUUAUUUAUUUAUUUUAUUAUGUUUCAUUUUAGAGAGGGCACGCGCGCGUGUGUGAGCGGGGGAGAGAGGCAGAGAGAAAGGGAGAGAGGGUCUUAAGCAGGCUCCACGCCCAGAGCAGAGCCCGACGCAGGGCCCUGACCCGAGCCGAUGCAAGAGUCGGACGCUCGACCGACCGAGCCACCCAGGUGCCCCUGUCAUUGUUUAAGUUAUAAAAUAACAUCUGCCAUAGUAGACUGUCUUCAAGGCACCCAUCCCACGGCUUCACUCCUCAACGCCCGACUUUGUUCAGGCAUUUGCCCCCGUCCACGUUAUGGGGCCCCAGGGCCACCUCCGGCAGGUAGACCAGGUGAGUCUAAGGCAUCCCUUCUCCCACAGACAGAUUUUUUUUUAAUUUUAUUUUUACAUUUAUUUAUUUUUUUUGAGAGACAAAGUGAGAGUGGGGGAGGGGCAGAGAGAGAGGGAGACGCAGAAUCCGAAGCAGGCUCCAGGCUCCAAGCCAUCGGCACAGAGCCCGACGCGGGGCUCGAACUUGUGAACCGCGGGAGCGUGACCUGAGCCGAAGUCGGAGGCUCAAUCGACUGAGCCCCCCGGGCGCCCCUCCCACGGACAGAUUUGGGAGUGAGCGUGUCACCCAGUUGUGACCAAUGAGACCUGCAGGGAAGUCUGCCAGGGGGUGCCGGAAGGGUUCCCGCACUCUGAAAAGGGAGACACGGAAACAGAAGUCCCCUAUGUCUGUGUCUGGCCCUGUUGUGCCUGCUCGGGUCCCUGAGGCUGCUACCAUUGGGCCGUGUGAAUAAGAGGAGCCAGCGUUUGGUGGGGAGGAUGCUGGGGCCUCAGGGAGGAGGUGGAAUAAGCAGAGGGAGUCUCUGGUGAUGUGUCCUUGCCACGCGUGGGGCCCUCCUUCUGCCAGACAUCCAGUCCCGGGAACCCAUCGGCGUCCUCACCGGGAGGCCCAGUUUCACGCCACGUGUUCUGUUCCUCGUAGCGAAAAGCCACCCGAGCGCAGGCUCAACUUAGAAACGUGUUUAAAGGCGGACGCACAUACAGAAGAAAAAUCACCUGCAACGCCACCAGGCCGUCAUAACCACAACGUAGGUUUUGGUGACUUCCCGUCGCCCUUUGGUGGUGCCCAUUUCGAUGCGUCAUUGCCUAAGGGCGAUGCUCGCUGCCUGGGGAAAAAAUUCCAACGGAGCGGUGGCCGAAUGCAGAAAGCGAGCGCCGAGCUGCCGUAACCCCUCCCUCUCGGUGGCGGACCCUUUGCGGUGUUUUCCGAGGCCUGAGCUGCCUGCCCCUGACUCAUGAAGACCCACAUGGUCUGUUGAGCCCGCGGGUAAACUGCACUUUUUUUUUUUAAUUUUUUUUUUAAUGUUUAUUUAUUUUU
This is a long non-coding RNA of Acinonyx jubatus (cheetah), 2216 nucleotides long. RefSeq lists it as uncharacterized. The record is from RefSeq and is a predicted model, not a curated record. The transcript is spliced from 3 exons. Lineage: Eukaryota; Metazoa; Chordata; Mammalia; Carnivora; Felidae.